GCCACAACGGCUGCUGUUGUCCCUGUAAACCGCAGGAACCGGCGUUCCCACAAUCGCUUCCAUCACCAAACAUAAUAACAACAUCCUACCACCACCGCAGUUUCAUCACUGCCACAACCCUCGCUAGUACCACUCUCGUCGCCAAUGACUUCGUCGUCGCCAGAGAAUACAAGCAGUGUGUGCGUUACACUUACCACUCCAACACUUACCAUCACAGCGGAAGAAGGAAAGUAUUUUUCGCGCAGGUGAGGGUGAAAACACCUCGAUUGACUCUUGGGAUACCGUUCAAAAGGU
This 294-nucleotide long non-coding RNA is filed under the name Octopus vulgaris (common octopus). The record is from RNAcentral. Lineage: Eukaryota; Metazoa; Mollusca; Cephalopoda; Octopoda; Octopodidae.